AUCGUAGUGAAAAUGGCCUUUAGUGAGGACUCCUUGUCGUGGUGGGAGUGAGCGUGGGAGGGAGAGUUGAAGCUGUACUGGUUCCUUGUACCCGCAGAAGAAAGCGCGGUUUAAUAACCUCCACAUUUUAAUGGAAGCCAGGACCCCAGUUGCGGAUACUGUGUCUGGAGACGACUGGGUAAGGUCAAACAAUCAUGAAUGAUCAGCCCUAUUCAGUCACAAAAAACAGUACAUCUGGUGAUGGAUAUCAAGCCCUUUUCGAAACAAAACUUGGAACUGCAGAUGAGAAAAAUGGCAUGGAGCAACUUGAAAGUCAACUCAGCAUUGGGGACUUUGUGAAAAUGGAGAGGAUGUUUAAGGGCCUUGAAGGAUGACUUUCAAUCAGUUACACACCCAGGAGACAUCAACAUUUUCUGAAUCUUCCCAUCCUCUUCACUCAAUCAGCUAUCACGCUGCAGGUACAAGCUUUUGUCAUAUCUCGAUUAGACUACUGCAUCAGCCUCUUGCUGGUCAUCCUGCCUCUA
Molecule: long non-coding RNA, 524 nt
Filed under: Ornithorhynchus anatinus (platypus)
Lineage: Eukaryota; Metazoa; Chordata; Mammalia; Monotremata; Ornithorhynchidae
Description: lncRNA (ENSOANG00000036656.1)
Source: RNAcentral